CCCCUAGUAACUGCGAGUGAAGCGGGAAAAGCUCAAAUUUAAAAUCUGGCGGUCUUUGGCYGUCCGAGUUGUAGUCUGGAGAAGUGYUUUCCGCGCUGGACCGUGUAUAAGUCUCUUGGAACAGAGCGUCAUAGAGGGUGAGAAUCCCGUCUUUGACACGGACUACCAGUGCUUUGUGAUGCGCUCUCGAAGAGUCGAGUUGUUUGGGAAUGCAGCUCAAAAUGGGUGGUAAAUUCCAUCUAAAGCUAAAUAUUGGCGAGAGACCGAUAGCGAACAAGUACCGUGAGGGAAAGAUGAAAAGCACUUUGGAAAGAGAGUUAAACAGUACGUGAAAUUGCUGAAAGGGAAACGCUUGAAGUCAGUCGCGUCUGCCGGAACUCAGCCUUGCUUUUGCUUGGUGCAUUUUCUGGUAGACGGGCCAGCAUCGAUUUUGACCGUCGGARAAGGGCUGGAGAAAUGUGGCACCUUCGGGUGUGUUAUAGUCUCUGGUCGYAUACGGCGGUUGGGAUCGAGGAACGCAGCGCGCCGCAAGGCAGGGGUUCGCCCACUUUCGCGCUUAGGAUGCUGGCGUAAUGGCUUUAAACGACCCGUCUUGAAACACGGACCAAGGAGUCUAACAUGCCUGCGAGUGUUUGGGUGGUAAACCCGAGCGCGUAAUGAAAGUGAAAGUUGAGACCUCUGUCGUGGAGGGCAUCGACGCCCGGACCUGACGUUCUCUGAAGGAUCCGCGGUAGAGCAUGUAUGUUGGGACCCGAAAGAUGGUGAACUAUGCCUGAAUAGGGUGAAGCCAGAGGAAACUCUGGUGGAGGCUCGUAGCGAUUCUGACGUGCAAAUCGAUCGUCAAAUUUGGGUAUAGGGGCGAAAGACUAAUCGAACCAUC
RNAcentral lists this ribosomal RNA (880 nucleotides) under Fomitella supina. RNAcentral describes it as "LSU rRNA". It matches the Rfam family "Eukaryotic large subunit ribosomal RNA", at positions 77 to 944 of the family's 3401-position model. The record is from RNAcentral. Lineage: Eukaryota; Fungi; Basidiomycota; Agaricomycetes; Polyporales; Polyporaceae.